RNAcentral lists this ribosomal RNA (443 nucleotides) under uncultured bacterium. RNAcentral describes it as "partial 16S ribosomal RNA". It matches the Rfam family "Bacterial small subunit ribosomal RNA", at positions 338 to 795 of the family's 1533-position model. The record is from RNAcentral.
CCUACGGGAGGCAGCAGUGGGGAAUAUUGGGCAAUGGGCGCAAGCCUGACCCAGCAACGCCGCGUGAAGGAAGAAGGCUUUCGGGUUGUAAACUUCUUUUCUCAGGGACGAAGAAAGUGACGGUACCUGAGGAAUAAGCCACGGCUAACUACGUGCCAGCAGCCGCGGUAAUACGUGGUUGGCAAGCGUUAUCCGGAUUUAUUGGGUGUAAAGGGCGUGUAGGCGGGGGCGCAAGUCAGAUGUGAAAACUCAGGGAGCAAACCUGAGCCUGGAUUUGAAACUGUGUGUCUUGAGUGCUUGAGAGGCAAUCGGAAUUCCGGGUGUAGCGGUGAAAUGCGUAGAUAGACGGAGGAACACCAGUGGCGAAGGCGGAUUGCUGGACAGUAACUGACGCUGAGGCGCGAAAGCGUGGGGAGCAAACAGGAUUAGAUACCCGGGUAGUC